GGGCCCGCACAAGCGGUGGAGUAUGUGGUUUAAUUCGAUGCAACGCGAAGAACCUUACCAGGGCUUAAAUGUAGUGGGACAGGUCUAGAGAUAGACCCUUCUUCGGACUCAUUACAAGGUGCUGCAUGGUUGUCGUCAGCUCGUGCCGUGAGGUGUCAGGUUAAGUCCUAUAACGAGCGCAACCCCUAUCGUUAGUUGCCAGCGGGUAAUGCCGGGAACUCUAGCGAAACUGCCGGUGCAAACCGUGAGGAAGGUGGGGAUGACGUCAAAUCAUCACGGCCCUUACGUCCUGGGCUACACACGUGCUACAAUGGUCGGUACAGAGAGCAGCCACUACGCGAGUAGGAGCGAAUCUUCAAAACCGAUCUCAGUUCGGAUCGCAGUCUGCAACUCGACUGCGUGAAGCUGGAAUCGCUAGUAAUCGGAUAUC
RNAcentral lists this ribosomal RNA (430 nucleotides) under uncultured bacterium. Its description in RNAcentral is "bacterial SSU rRNA". It matches the Rfam family "Bacterial small subunit ribosomal RNA", at positions 917 to 1350 of the family's 1533-position model. The record is from RNAcentral.